UCGAGACAGGGUUUCUCUGUGUAGCUUUGCGCCUUUCCUGGAACUCACUUGGUAGUCCAGGCUGGCCUCGAACUUACAGAGAUCCACCUGGCUCUGCCUCCCGAGUGCUGGGAUUAAAGGCGUGAGCCACCACCGCCCGGCUAGUUCUCUCAAGUUUUAGAUGGGAAGUAGAGCCAACACGUUGGGCAGCCAAACGUAGUUGGAAGGUUUCUCCAAUUCCACCAAGGCACCUCAGUCCCAUGGCCCGCUGAUACAAUAAUCAUAUAAUCAAUAAUAAUAUAAACUCAGAAGCUUAUAUUAAUUAUAACUGCUUGGCCAUUAGCUCAUGCUUAUUACUAACUAGCUCUUACGUUUAAAUUAACCCAUAAUUCUUAUCUAUGUUUAGCCAUGUGGCUUGGUACCUUCUCUCAGUUCUGGCUUGUCAUCUUGCUUCCUCUGUGUCUAGCUGACUCAGCCCUUCCUCUUCUCAGAAUUCUCCUCGUCUGCUUGCCCUGCCUAUACUUCCUGUCUGGCUACUGACCAAUCAGCAUUUUAUUUAUCAACCAAUCGGAGCAACACGUAUUCACAGCGUACAGAAAGAUAUCCCACAGCAGGCACCGACAUCUUCAGGGCACUGUAGAGCCUCACCAUUAGGGCAUAUUCAGAGGUCAUGGGUCUCCAGCUCUGUGGCUCGGGGUUGGUCGUCCUGUGACAAUAACUGAUUAGUUGUUUGAUUAGAGAUUUUUUUUUUUUGAAUUUGGCAUUGGAGAAACAUAGAGAAGAAAUUGAGAAAGUAGGGUAUGAUUAGUAAAAGCUGGAAAAUUAGAAGGAGAGGAGUCAGGAAGGGAAGUAUCUGCUUCCAUUUGGGAUUCUCAAAGGCCCAGGGGCUGGAGGAAUUGAGUUGCUCAUAACGUUUUGGAGGUCUGUUUGAAGUUGUUGGAUUUUGUUUUUUACUAUACCCAAUUAGUUGACAUAGAGGCAGCCUUCCUCAUGGAGGAAGAGACAAAGGCCUCCUUUUUCAGCUGUAAGAAGAUCUAGUCCCCGUAGGUUUUAGAAUACCACCACAGCGAAGGGGUCAGUUGGUCCUUGAAGGGUGAGCAUGGUUUGGGCCACUGCAAGAGGUCCUUGAUGAACUGGGAAGAAAAUUGAUGAGACAAAAUCAGGGAGGUGGUCAGUCCUGCUGUCCAGGUGACAGACAAGUCAGGGGGGUGGUCAGUCCUGCUGUCCAGGUGACAGUCAGAGUCGGGGGGGUGGCCAGUCCUGCUGUCCAGGUGACAAAGUCAGGGGGUGGUCAGUCCUGCUGUCCAGGUGAGACACACCUCAGUUCUUCCCACAACAGCCACAAGGGGCAAGAGUGGAAUCGCCCUUUGAUUGUGGCUAUUGAGUCCACGGCAGGAAUCAAUAGGGGCUCUUCUCCAUAUAUCGCCCCCAACUUGGGGAAGAGACAUGCUAGUGUGCAAACCCCUGACCAACUAGCCAGUGGGCAAUGAGAGACUUGAGUACCACAAAGAACUGAGGUGUUGCAGACUGGAAGGCACUGGGGCCGAAGAGGCGUGUCAAGGCUUAAAGUUUUGCCAUCUAAGAGAUUAACGCCCCUACAAGAUGUGUCCUGUACACCUUAAAGUAGUUUGCCAUGCCAAAGAGGGUGGUAUGAAGAAAGUAGGGAGUCUUGGCAUUUCUACCAGUGCCGUCUGGAGAGGAAGAACUGGAGAGGGAGGUGGAGUUUGUAUGCCUGGAUACAUUAAGAGGUGGGAGGGUUGUUGGGGAGGAAGAUAGCGGUAGGUGACCCCAAAGUUAGUUUUUCAGACUCAUGAAUGAGGAGCUGGGCAGCCGCUAAAGCACAUGUGCAGAGCGCCCAUCCCUGGGUGUCAAGGUCCAACUUUUUUUGACACGUAUGCCACAGGUACCAAAGAAGGUCCCAGUUGCUGGCCUAGGACCCCAAAGGCAUGUUUCCUUUUCUGUUACACAGAGGGAGAAGAGAUGGGUCAGGUCUGGGAGGUGGAGUGCCAGGGCCUGGAGGAGAGCCUGUUGGAGCUUCUGAAAGAGCUUGGUGAUGGGUAUGAGAAGGUGUUCAUAGGAGCCAAGGGUUGCUUCAUAAAGUGGGCAGACAAGGAGGGAGAAGGAGAGGAUCUGGGAACAUAAGAAGCCAGCUAGUCCUAGGAAGGACAAAAAUGUCCUCUUUGACAGAGGGACUGGGGGAGAUGGAUUAGAUAUUUUCUAUCCAAGGUAAUGGCUUUGUGGGUUGGGGUCAUGGUUAGUCCCAAGUAGGUAACCCGAGGGGUAGACAGUUGGACCUUAGAUGGUGAGGCUCUACAGCCCUGCCUGGACAAGAAAUUUAGAAGAGCGGAGGUGUCCGUUUGCUAACUUGUAGGGAUGGACUGCAGAGCAGGUCAUCUCCACACUCUAUGAGUGUAGAUUUGGGGAGAGACAAAGAGAGUAGAUUGGAGGCCAGGACCUACCAAACAGGUGUGGGUUGUCCUGGAAGCCCUGGGGUAGGACAGUCCAGGUGAGUGAGGUAGAGAGGUGGGUGUCAGGGUCAGUCCAGGUGAAAGCAAAAAGGUUUUGUGACUGGGUGUGGAGGGGGAUAGAGAAGAAGGCAUUCUUGAGGUCCAGGAUUGAGAAAUAGGAGGCAUUUUCUGACCCGCCCCUUGGGGACCCGCCUGGUGUCCUCCUGACGCCAUCCUACGUCCCCUUUAAGAAGAAAACUCCUCCUCCUUUACCCUCUCUUCCACCCUCCCUCCCUUCCCCACCAUGAGGUGCGCAUAACCCAGCUUUCCCCCUUCUCUCUUCCUCUCUCCUUCUUCCCCCGUCUUUCUCUCUAUUUUUCUGAUAAACUCUCCCCACAGGGAUGCAGUGCCCAGGGUGGGAGUGACUGUGCACUGUCCACCCUGGCAGCCAGCUGCCGCAUCUGCCAGGCAUGUUUCCGUCACCUGCGGGACUCCUUGGCCCUGGACAGCCAGGGCCUCCUGCGUGCCCUGUGAUGACAGGAGGUCCCUGAGGGAAGAGUGGACAGGAGUGUGUAAAGGUUUCUCCUCCGAUGCAGUAAGCCAGCUCAAGCCGAACUGGAAAAGCGAAAGAACAGGUUUAUUUGAGCAAAGCAACUCCCAGAUGAGUCCGGCUCUCAACUGUGGCUGGAGAACCUCCGCGAGAGUUAAUGCAGAGACUCAUAACUGAUCCAAGUGUUGAGAAUGAGUGGUUACUCAAUGCUCAGCCCGAAGUAGGACAUCUGUAUCGGACCCUGCUCUAAGACUCAGGGAACUUCAUGGAAGAGGGGAGUAGAAAGAAUGUUGGAGCUGGAGGCCGGGGAGGAGCGCUGUCAAACGCUGUCUUCUGGGCCUGACCCGGCCAUUGCAGCCAUGGAUUCACUGCAGCAAUUGUUAAUGGCAAGAGAGCAAUCUAACAGGACAACCUUCUAGAAGGAAGCACUAGUUACACUUAGUGGCUGG
Long non-coding RNA from Peromyscus californicus insignis, 3425 nucleotides. RefSeq lists it as uncharacterized. The transcript is spliced from 3 exons. Lineage: Eukaryota; Metazoa; Chordata; Mammalia; Rodentia; Cricetidae. The record is from RefSeq and is a predicted model, not a curated record.